This is a long non-coding RNA of Macaca mulatta (Rhesus monkey), 1360 nucleotides long. RefSeq lists it as uncharacterized. Lineage: Eukaryota; Metazoa; Chordata; Mammalia; Primates; Cercopithecidae. The record is from RefSeq and is a predicted model, not a curated record.
CAGGUUUUGCAAAAGAGAAGAUUUAUUUGCAGAGCUGCCAAGUAAGGAUGUAGGAGAACAGCUCUCAAAUCUGCCUCCCCCAAAGUUUUCCACCAAUAUAUACAUCCCUAAACAGCAUGACUCAGUUUUGAAAAACUGAACAGCAAGCAGCAAUCUAGAAGAAUAAGGAAAGAGUGAUGUUACCACUGUUUGAGGAAGGCUCAGGAGAAGAUAAACUGAACAGCCUCUCGGUCAUUGUCUGGCUUCAGCUUCCCUAAGCAUUUAUAAGAGCCUUUUAUGGGAAAAUCAUUGAGUCAGAUGAAGAGGUCAAGGCAGAACAUUUCUAGACAACACCCACAGCAGAUCAAGUAUCAGAGCAUUGGAGGAAUGAGCAGGAACUUUAUCCGCAUGUGGUCAAAAUAAGGUGAGUACAGAGGAAAAAUCUGGGCCAGACUCUGGGUAUGGAGUCCUUGAUUUAAAAGUUAGCGUGAUGGCAGUGGGGACGGUGGUGAUGGAAGCCCUCAGUGUGUCUCUCCUUGGAGUCCUGGUGUCCCGCUUCUUCAGGCUGGACGUGUUUCCUUCUGCACCUAGUUCAUAACUGUCAUUCUGGACUCUCCCGUCACCCUUACCCUAGAGUCCCUUCACCACUCUCCUGUGUUAGAUUCCGUUGUGCCCCAUGUGUUCCUUCUUGGCUUGUCCUCUCAUUCAAGAAGCACAGCCUCCAGUAGCCCCUUAAGAAAGAAUGCAUGUGAAGUAAAUCUUGCAUAUCUGAAAAUGCCCUUAUUUUACACUCAUAUUUGGUUGAUAAUUUAGCUGGGUACAGAAUUCUAGGCUGGGAAUAGUUUUUCUUAAGAAUUUUGAAAAGCACUGCUCUGGUGUCUCUUGCCUCUACCAUUGUUUAUUGAAGCCGGCAAAACCAAAGCUGAUUCCCGAUCCUUUAUAUUUGAUCUUCAUAUGUACCCUCUCCCUUGCUCUCUAAGCUUUUACAAUCUCUUGGACUCUGUGUUCUGAAAUUCCAUGAUAAUGUGUCUCGACAGGUCUUUUUUCAUCCAUUUCUCUGGGCACUUGAAGAACUCUUUCAAUCUGGAAACUCAUGUCCUUCAUGAGUUUUGAGUAAACUUUUCUGUAUGGUUUUAUUGAUGACUGCCUCUCCUACAUGUUCUUUUUCUCUCUUGAACACAUAUUAUUCAGAUAUUGAACACGCCAGUCUUAAUCUCUAAUCUUCUUUAUCUUUGCUUUCCUAUUUUUCAUCUCUGUGUCUUCUUGGGCGAUUUCCUCAAGUUUAUCUUCCAACUCUUCUGUUACAUUUUUCAGGUCCACUCUUUGCUUUAAUUUUUAAAGGCCCUUUUUUCUUCUCUUAAAAUGUAUCGACUGGGUGCAG